UUGGCGGACGGGUGAGUAAUGCUUAGGAAUCUGCCUAUUAGUGGGGGACAACAUUCCGAAAGGAAUGCUAAUACCGCAUACGUCCUACGGGAGAAAGCAGGGGAUCUUCGGACCUUGCGCUAAUAGAUGAGCCUAAGUCGGAUUAGCUAGUUGGUGGGGUAAAGGCCUACCAAGGCGACGAUCUGUAGCGGGUCUGAGAGGAUGAUCCGCCACACUGGGACUGAGACACGGCCCAGACUCCUACGGGAGGCAGCAGUGGGGAAUAUUGGACAAUGGGGGGAACCCUGAUCCAGCCAUGCCGCGUGUGUGAAGAAGGCCUUAUGGUUGUAAAGCACUUUAAGCGAGGAGGAGGCUACUGAGACUAAUACUCUUGGAUAGUGGACGUUACUCGCAGAAUAAGCACCGGCUAACUCUGUGCCAGCAGCCGCGGUAAUACGA
This 438-nucleotide ribosomal RNA is filed under the name uncultured bacterium. Its description in RNAcentral is "bacterial SSU rRNA". It matches the Rfam family "Bacterial small subunit ribosomal RNA", at positions 95 to 528 of the family's 1533-position model. The record is from RNAcentral.